AACGAACGCUGGCGGCAUGCCUAACACAUGCAAGUCGAACGAGACCUUCGGGUCUAGUGGCGCACGGGUGCGUAACGCGUGGGAACAUGCCCUAAGGCUCGGAAUUACUCCCCGAAAGGGGUGCUAACACCGGAUAAUGUCCUCGGACCAAAGAUUUAUCGCCUUUGGAUGGGCCCGCGUUGGAUUAGCUAGUUGGUAGGGUAAAAGCCUACCAAGGCGACGAUCCAUAGCUGGUCAGAGAGGAUGAUCAGCCACACUGGGACUGAGACACGGCCCAGACUCCUACGGGAGGCAGCGGUGGGGGAUAUUGGACGAUGGGCGAAAGCCUGAACCAGCAAUGCCGCGUGAGUGAUGAAGGCCGUAGGGUUGUAAAGCUCUUUUACCCGGGAUGAUAAUGACAGUACCGGGAGAAUAAGCUCCGGCUAACUCCGUG
This 433-nucleotide ribosomal RNA is filed under the name uncultured bacterium. RNAcentral describes it as "partial 16S ribosomal RNA". It matches the Rfam family "Bacterial small subunit ribosomal RNA", at positions 29 to 507 of the family's 1533-position model. The record is from RNAcentral.